Molecule: non-coding RNA, 750 nt
Organism: Cyanistes caeruleus (blue tit)
Lineage: Eukaryota; Metazoa; Chordata; Aves; Passeriformes; Paridae
Source: RefSeq, a predicted model, not a curated record
CUGGGUUCUUGCUGUGCUGCCAGUUGAAGGGAUUUCCAGGUCCACCAUGGAAUAAUUGGAGUUCCAUGAACAGCAACUAAAGUACAAGGUUUCACCCAUUGCAAGAAACAGAGCUGCCUAUACUUCCUUUGGUUUGGUAUCACUUCUCAUUAGACAGGUGUUGAGGAACACAUUGAAUGGAGUUGAUGCUCUGCAUGUCCAGGAGUUUUGGCUCAGCCUGGGAAGGCCCAAGCUUAAUAGCCAAGGCAGCAGCUGUUCCAGCUGCCAAGAGGCACUGUCAAUUUCAGCAGUAAAUUUUGUGCUCUGCAAUUGAAGUCUCAGUUCAAGUGAGCUCUUCUGUACCUGCCAGGGAUUCCCAAAUGCCCUCUUCUGAAGACUAGCAGGUUUGCAUGCAGCUGGACCCUGUUUGCACAUGUUCAUCACGGUUUUCCAAAGUGGAGCAAGUCAUCAUCCUGCUAGGGAGCUCCGUUAAAGGCCCAGAGGAAUCAGGUGAUCAGGAGGUAAAUCCACUGGACCUUCAUUCUGCAGUACCUGAAUGAGCAGAGCACAGGACUUUUGAAGUCUCUCAUAAGGCACCACAAAAAGUGGCUUGCUUACACACAAAUAUUCCUGUUUUGGGUAAGAUUGCUUUCCAGUGUCAGUGCGAAUGGAUUUCAAUAUGUGGUGCUCUUAAUGAAAAAAACAACAAUCUAAAUCUGUGAACCUACUCUUUCUCUGUCCUCCUUAAGCCUUACUCUAGCAAGCUCAUAU